RNAcentral lists this transfer RNA (75 nucleotides) under Acidilobales archaeon. RNAcentral's name for it is "tRNA-Arg". It matches the Rfam family "tRNA". From Rfam's summary of the family: Transfer RNA (tRNA) molecules are approximately 80 nucleotides in length. Their secondary structure includes four short double-helical elements and three loops (D, anti-codon, and T loops). Further hydrogen bonds mediate the characteristic L-shaped molecular structure. tRNAs have two regions of fundamental functional importance: the anti-codon, which is responsible for specific mRNA codon recognition, and the 3' end, to which the tRNAs corresponding amino acid is attached (by aminoacyl-tRNA synthetases). tRNAs cope with the degeneracy of the genetic code in two manners: having more than one tRNA (with a specific anti-codon) for a particular amino acid; and 'wobble' base-pairing, i.e. permitting non-standard base-pairing at the 3rd anti-codon position. The record is from RNAcentral. Lineage: Archaea; Thermoproteati; Thermoproteota; Thermoprotei; Acidilobales.
GGGCCCGUAGCCUAGCCAGGAUAGGGCGCCGGCCUGCGGAGCCGGAGAUCCCGGGUUCAAAUCCCGGCGGGCCCG